This 182-nucleotide ribosomal RNA is filed under the name Botryosphaeria dothidea. RNAcentral's name for it is "partial 18S ribosomal RNA". The record is from RNAcentral. Lineage: Eukaryota; Fungi; Ascomycota; Dothideomycetes; Botryosphaeriales; Botryosphaeriaceae.
UAAUCGGAAUUGAAUCGGGCUCCGGCCCGAUCCUCCCACCCUUUGUGUACCUACCUCUGUUGCUUUGGCGGGCCGCGGUCCUCCGCGGCCGCCCCCCUCCCCGGGGGGUGGCCAGCGCCCGCCAGAGGACCAUCAAACUCCAGUCAGUAAACGAUGCAGUCUGAAAAACAUUUAAUAAACUA